RNAcentral lists this transfer RNA (73 nucleotides) under Marmota monax (woodchuck). Its description in RNAcentral is "tRNA.Ala". The record is from RNAcentral. Lineage: Eukaryota; Metazoa; Chordata; Mammalia; Rodentia; Sciuridae.
UGGGGACUCAACUCAGUGGUAGAGGACAUGCUCAGCAUGUAUGAGGUCCUGGGUUCAAUUCUUAGCUCCCUCA